Molecule: long non-coding RNA, 3090 nt
Filed under: Citrus sinensis (sweet orange)
Lineage: Eukaryota; Viridiplantae; Streptophyta; Magnoliopsida; Sapindales; Rutaceae
Description: long non-coding RNA (CSIN_LNC003073)
Source: RNAcentral
GCUUGAUAAUUAAACAAUUUUUAAUAAUAAUCAACAUGUUACCAGUAAUAAGGAGUAUUAUCUUAAUAGCUGAUCUCUAAAAGGGCCGAUAUAUCUAUUCACUUUUGUAGUUUCUACCUUACGUUUUUUUCCCAGGGAAAAGCUUUUUAUGACUUCGACUGGAUCGUACUCAAUUUGAGAAUUACUAAUAUUAUAACCAUUCAGAUGAGGUAUACAUGCCAACUCUUUCUCGACCACUUGGAUGAGGCGUACGUGAUGCCUUUUUCUUGCUUAUUCAGAUGAGGCGUACAUACCACCUUUUUUUACCAUUCAGAUGAUGCGUACAUGUUGCCUCUUUCUCAACAAAGAAGUAUUAUUGAGAAGAUGUACAUAUCGAGCUAUUUAUUUUAUCUCCCAACACGACAACAAUAUAUGGAAGGGAAUAUCGCUGUAUCUAUGAUGUAUAAAGAUCCCACAUGAUGGGAUCAACUUAUGUGGCAAUAAAAGAACCGAACAAUAUUUAUUAAAAGCUCUCUACAUGGUAGGAUCAACCAUACAUGGCAUGGUAAAGGGACAACCUAAUCUUUGUUAUAAGGGUCCCUAAAUUAUGGAACCAACCCACAUGGCAAUAAAAGGACUAAACAAUCUCCAUUUUGAGAGUCCCCGCAUGAUGAGAUCGACCUCACAUGGCGCGGUGAAGAGAUCGAGUAAUCUCUGUUAUAAGGGUCCCCGUAUGAUGAGAUCAACCCCACAUGGGACCGUAAAUGGACAAGGAAAAGUCUAUUACAAGAGUCUCCAUAUUAUGGGAUCAAAUCCACAUGGUAAUAAAGAAAUGGGCAAUCUCCAUUCUAAGAGUCCCUACAUGAUGGGAACAUCCCAUAUGGCAUUCAAGAACUUCAUUAUAUCUACUAUCUCUAUGAUAAGGGCGCACACAUGAUGGGAACACCCCACAGGGUGUUCAAGGGAUCCCGUACUACUCGUAUAAGCGAUAUGGAUCCCACACAUAAGGGGGAUGCCCUCGUGUUGCUAAGUUUAUCUUGCUUGAAUCUCUAAAUACCAUGUAUGCUUGAGAACAUCCCACGUAACAAUGAUAUAAAUGCCUCAGUCACGAUGACGAUCUCUAUGAGCGGUAAAUGCCCCAAUGGGUGAGGCAUAGAUAAAUGCUCCGCACGACAUGAAAAAAUACACAUGCCAUAAACACGGUGAUGAGCCCCAAGUGUGGCACAUCAAAUAAAUUCUAGGGGCACGGCAAAUGCCCCUAUGAGCGCCACAAAAAUAAAUGCUCCAUCUAGCGUGGCAAAAUACAUACGGCCCGAGGUAUGGUAAUGAGCUCCAGGUGUGGCAUACAUUAUAAAUGCCCUAGUGCGACACACACAAUGGAUGCCCUAGGUGCGGCAACGAGCCCCGGGCCUUACACAUAAAAUAAAUUCCCCGACCACGGUGACAAGCCUAGAUAAGGUAAAUGCCACGAUGAGUGCAGCAAAGGUACAUACUUGGCCCGGCAUAGUGAAAUUGCACAUCCCUCAAGCAUGGCACAUAGAACAAAGGCCUUAAUACGACAUAUGAUGUAUGUUCCUCAAGUGCGGCCAAUAAAGCAAACUCCCCUAGGUGCAACAAUAAGCUACUCCAAGCGGCCCUCUCUCUCAUCUCAUGCCCUAUCACUAACACCCUUGCCUUUGAGUCUUUAUCUUCCGUGCUAGGUUGAUAACUAGGAGUUGAACUUGGAUUGUGAGUAGGGUCCUCCCUAAAUCAAGAAGUUUUGAGGAAUACGGAGGCUUAAAUAAAGUAAAAAUAGCUCAACACUAUACAUUAAGCCAACUGUCCGAAUCGAGCAUCUCCUCUUUAACUUUCUCCUUGGCCCUCUUCCCUUCGUCACAAACAGAACGUAACUACUUUUUAAAGGAGUUCUCCCUUUUGCAAGAGCACUAUCUAGAACCUGUUAGCUCCUUGCAGAGCUUGAUCACCUUUGCCAUCAUCUAGGAGUUCCACUCCAACAUUUGAUUCGGGACAUGAGCAUGGAGCAUAACAGUCUACGUACAACCAAAAAAGAGGGAAUAUGAAGAAAAAAACGGAUUACAUAAGACGUUAGCUAGCCAAAGUCAUGAGAAAAGUAAAUUGGGAUCAACCUGAAGAAAGCUCUGGGUAGCUUCCUCUAACAGUUGACACUGUGAGGUCUUCCUAGUAGAAUGUAAGAAUUCAAACUUUCUUUAUGAAGCUUGCAUGAGGAUAGGGAAUAGGAUCAUUGACAACUAGUCUUUUCCUUUUGUCAACAGCUAAUCUAAUUGCAUAGCAAGGGGGUAAGCCCUGCGAGGCACUCUCAGAAAUGGAUGAAGAAGCUUUUUCAAAAAACACCUAGACAUCGCCCUUUAUGGCCUGAGGGGAAGAUCGCCGAGUCAAACUUGUUGCCCAUUUAAUAAAACUAGGAACUCCCUUCCAGCCAACUUAUAGGGAAUCUCUUUCCAUCUUAGGCAUCUCCUACUUUGACAAACUCUUUGGCAGAAAACACAAGAGAAAGAGGGUUAGCAUAAUUCUAAAGUUAAUGUGAGACACCCAGGACAAGAGACAAAAUACACAACCUCGAUGCUGCAAAGGUCUACCCUCACAGAAACUGUCCUCAAUGAGAAGAUUUCCUCACAUUGCAUGAUCCCUCAAGUAAAAAUUUAGUCUCCUUCAUCUCGUUCUUUACUAAAGAAGACUAAGAGGAUUUCAUUGAGGAUGAAAUAUGGGCUAAAGAUAUUGAGGGCAUGACACAUGGGGAGUCUGACUCAAAACCAUGACAAAAGAUAAAAGGAAAGCUGAAAAAAGAGGAUGAAGGGGAAGACUUUGAAGAAAUGGAAAGAUCUCACAUGGGAAAUGUGAUUCAAAACUAUGACAAAGAAUGAAAGGGAUGUUGAGAAGGAAGUUAACAAGUGGAAGAUGAAAAGGGAAGUUGAGAUGGGAAGAUCUCGGGAAGAUGACAUCAACCACCCAAGUCAUCAAAGAAUAACGGAAUAUCCCUUUUAUGGUAUGGCCGCGCCAUUGCAUGGUAGUAUGAUCCCCACAUAAGUUGCUUCCCAAAUAUCUCCUUGCGAGCCGCCCAAGUCAGAAGGAAAAGAAGACCAUGGACAACCC